CCUUUGGGUGGGGAAUAACAGCCGGAAACGGCUGCUAAUACCGCAUAAUGCAGCGGCUCGACAUCGAGACAGUUGUUAAAGCGGGGGAUCGCAAGACCUCGCGCCUGAAGAGAAGCCUGCGGCAGAUUAGCUAGUUGGUAAGGUAAUGGCUUACCAAGGCAACGAUCUGUAACCGGCCUGAGAGGGCGGUCGGUCACACUGACACUGACAUACGGGUCAG
RNAcentral lists this ribosomal RNA (220 nucleotides) under uncultured bacterium. RNAcentral's name for it is "partial 16S ribosomal RNA". It matches the Rfam family "Bacterial small subunit ribosomal RNA", at positions 129 to 334 of the family's 1533-position model. The record is from RNAcentral.